This 874-nucleotide ribosomal RNA is filed under the name Lepidurus apus. RNAcentral describes it as "eukaryotic LSU rRNA". It matches the Rfam family "Eukaryotic large subunit ribosomal RNA", at positions 666 to 1472 of the family's 3401-position model. Lineage: Eukaryota; Metazoa; Arthropoda; Branchiopoda; Notostraca; Triopsidae. The record is from RNAcentral.
CCAAGGAGUCUAACAUGUGCGCGAGUCGUCGAGUUGUACCAAACUCGAAGGCGAAAUGAAAGUAAAGGCUCGGUUUCCGAGCUGAGGGGAGAUCCCGUUCUGCUUCUGUAGCGCGGGCGCAUCCCCGGGGCGUCUAUACUGCGUUGCCAGUGAGACGAACCUAGAGCGUACACGUUGGGACCCGAAAGAUGGUGACCUAUGCCUGGCCAGGACGAAGCCAGGGGAAACCCUGGUGGAGGUCCGCAGCGAUUCUGACGUGCAAAUCGAUCGUCGGAGUUGGGUAUAGGGGCGAAAGACUAAUCGAACCAUCUAGUAGCUGGUUCCCCCCGAAGUUUCCCUCAGAUAGCUGGUGCUCGCAACAAGACACGGAGUUUCAUCCGGUAAAGCGAAUGAUUAGAGGCCUUGGGGUCGAAACGACCUCAACCUAUUCUCAAACUUUCAAUGGGUGAGAAGCCCGGCUUAGCCUAAGCGAAGCCGUGGCAGUCGAAUCCGAGCGCCCAGUGGGCCACUUUUGGUAAGCAGAACUGGCGCUGUGGGAUGAACCAAACGUCUGGUUAAGGCGCCCAAACAACGCACAUUCCGGAACCCACAAAAGGAGUUGGUUGCUAAAGACAGCAGGACGGUGGCCAUGGAGGUCGGAACCCGCUCAGGAGUGUGUAACAACUCACCUGCCGAAGCAACUAGCCCUUAAAAUGGGAGGCGCUAUAGCGUUGUGCCUAUACCAGACCGCCGGUGGCAGAGCCUGCCCCCUGUAAAGGGGUGCACUGAGGCCCCGGUGAGUAGGGGGGUCGCCGCGGUGAGCGUAAAAGGGUCUGGGCGUAAGCCUGCCUGGAGCCGCCGCUGGUGCAGAUCUUGGUGGUAGUAGCAAAUACUC